UGUGAUUGGAGGAAUUUGAUGUAUGCAUUUGAUGUAGGAAUUGGAUUUGAGAGGUAUGUGUAUAACAUUUGAGGGUAUGUGUUUAGGGAUUUUGAUAAGAGGAUUUGAGGACUUUAGAUUUGAGGGAUUUGGAUUUGGUGAAAAAUAUGAGGAAUUUGAUUCAGGGUUUUGGAUUUGAAUAUGAGAAAUUUGAGAUAAGGGUUUAGAGACAACCUAGGAUUGAUUGCUCUGAUAUCAUGCUUAAAUAUAAAUAUAGUUUGAAUACUCUGGGUUAGGUUUUAUUCUUCUCCAUUAGGAGGUAUAU
RNAcentral lists this long non-coding RNA (304 nucleotides) under Prunus persica (peach). RNAcentral's name for it is "long non-coding RNA (PPER_LNC003567)". Lineage: Eukaryota; Viridiplantae; Streptophyta; Magnoliopsida; Rosales; Rosaceae. The record is from RNAcentral.